UACGUAGGGUGCAAGCGUUAAUCGGAAUUACUGGGCGUAAAGCGUGCGCAGGCGGUGAGAUAAGUCAGCUGUGAAAGCCCCGGGCUCAACCUGGGAACUGCGGCCGAAACUGUCUCGCUAGAGUACGUCAGAGGGGGGUGGAAUUCCACGUGUAGCAGUGAAAUGCGUAGAGAUGUGGAGGAACACCAAUGGCGAAGGCAGCCCCCUGGGAUGAUACUGACGCUCAUGCACGAAAGCGUGGGGAGCAAACAGG
RNAcentral lists this ribosomal RNA (253 nucleotides) under uncultured bacterium. RNAcentral's name for it is "partial 16S ribosomal RNA". It matches the Rfam family "Bacterial small subunit ribosomal RNA", at positions 524 to 776 of the family's 1533-position model. RNAcentral also lists the same sequence under 1 other name. The record is from RNAcentral.